GAAUCGGUGAGGAGAAAUGCUCACGGGGUGGAAACAAGGACACACUCCCGCAGAGUUUUCAAAA
This 64-nucleotide small RNA is filed under the name Synechococcus sp. MIT S9508. RNAcentral's name for it is "Cyano-1 RNA". It matches the Rfam family "Cyano-1 RNA". The record is from Rfam by way of RNAcentral. Lineage: Bacteria; Bacillati; Cyanobacteriota; Cyanophyceae; Synechococcales; Synechococcaceae.